GAUGAACGCUGGCGGCGUGCCUAAUACAUGCAAGUCGAGCGAACAGACGAGGAGCUUGCUCCUCUGACGUUAGCGGCGGACGGGUGAGUAACACGUGGAUAACCUACCUAUAAGACUGGGAUAACUUCGGGAAACCGGAGCUAAUACCGGAUAAUAUAUUGAACCGCAUGGUUCAAUAGUGAAAGACGGUUUUGCUGUCACUUAUAGAUGGAUCCGCGCCGCAGUAGCUAGUUGGUAAGGUAACGGCUUACCAAGGCGACGAUGCGUAGCCGACCUGAGAGGGUGAUCGGCCACACUGGAACUGAGGCACGGUCCAGACUCCUACGGGAGGCAGCAGUAGGGAAUCUUCCGCAAUGGGCGAAAGCCUGACGGAGCAACGCCGCGUGAGUGAUGAAGGUCUUCGGAUCGUAAAACUCUGUUAUUAGGGAAGAACAAAUGUGUAAGUAACUAUGCACGUCUUGACGGUACCUAAUCAGAAAGCCACGGCUAACUACGUG
Molecule: ribosomal RNA, 497 nt
Filed under: uncultured bacterium
Lineage: Bacteria
Description: partial 16S ribosomal RNA
Rfam family: Bacterial small subunit ribosomal RNA
Source: RNAcentral